RNAcentral lists this ribosomal RNA (292 nucleotides) under uncultured bacterium. RNAcentral describes it as "partial 16S ribosomal RNA". It matches the Rfam family "Bacterial small subunit ribosomal RNA", at positions 505 to 794 of the family's 1533-position model. The record is from RNAcentral.
GUGCCAGCAGCCGCGGUAAUACGGAGGGUGCGAGCGUUAUCCGGAAUUACUGGGUUUAAAGGGUGCGUAGGCGGCUAUGUAAGUCAGGAGUGAAAGUUUGCGGCUCAACCGUAAAAUUGCUUUUGAUACUGCAUGGCUGGAAUUAGGAUGAGGUCAGCGGAAUGUGGCAUGUAGCGGUGAAAUGCAUAGAUAUGCCAUAGAACACCAAUUGCGAAGGCAGCUGGCUAGACCUGGAUUGACGCUGAGGCACGAAAGCGUGGGGAGCGAACAGGAGGAUAAACCAGCGGAUUAC